GCUAAUACCGGAUAACAACAGAUGAUGCCUAUCAACUGUUUAAAAGAAUGGUUCUGCUAUCACUCUUGGAUGGACCUGCGGUGCAUUAGCUAGUUGGUAGGGUAACGGCCUACCAAGGCGAUGAUGCAUAGCCGAGUUGAGAGACUGAUCGGCCACAUUGGGACUGAGACACGGCCCAAACUCCUACGGGAGGCAGCAGGU
This 201-nucleotide ribosomal RNA is filed under the name uncultured Lactobacillus sp. Its description in RNAcentral is "partial 16S ribosomal RNA". It matches the Rfam family "Bacterial small subunit ribosomal RNA", at positions 162 to 354 of the family's 1533-position model. Lineage: Bacteria; Bacillati; Bacillota; Bacilli; Lactobacillales; Lactobacillaceae. The record is from RNAcentral.